CAGAAGUAGAUUCAAGGUGAUCUUGAUGGGUUAGAGUGACAGGCAGAGAGGAACAGAAUGAAAUUCAAUAGGGACAAAUGCCA
Molecule: long non-coding RNA, 83 nt
Organism: Varanus komodoensis (Komodo dragon)
Lineage: Eukaryota; Metazoa; Chordata; Lepidosauria; Squamata; Varanidae
Exons: 3
Source: RefSeq, a predicted model, not a curated record